CCGGCUUAUUCAACCCCUCCAGACCCUCCCAGUACGGCCCAGUUCAUCCCAGUACACCUCCAGGCCCUCCCAGUACCCCCCAGCAUCCUUCCCCAGCGUUCCUAAUGUCCUCCAGUAUGUCCCAGUCCAUUCUCGAAUCACUCCCAGUUUGUCCCAGUAUCCCCCAACCUCACUCCCAGUAUAGCCCAGUCCCCCCCAGUCCAAACCUCCGCCCUGGCCCUGCCCACUUCCUUGGCCACGCCCCCUCCAAGUCCCCCCUCCUCCAAUUUCCAGUUCCUCGUGGCUGCUCUGGGAAGGACCCUCUGGAAUUUCCCCUGCCCCCCCAGGGAUCAAAGGUCACGGAAUGGAGCGGGAAAGGCUCGGGGCACUGGUGAUACUGGGAGUUCUGUCUCUGGCCAGAGGGGACCCCCCCUGAUGCUGCCAAUCCCUUCCAUUACGACUGGUGUCACCUGCGCGUGGGUGGCCUCGUGGUGGCCGCGGUGCUGAGCGUGGUGGGGAUCAUCAUCCUGUUCAGUGAGUGACACCUGUCAUUGUCACCUGUGUCACUGUCACCUGUGUCACCUGUGUGUCAUUGUCACCUGUCAUUGUAUCCUGUUCAGUGAGUGCUACCCUUGUGUCACCUGUGUGUCACUGUCACCUGUCUGUGUCACCUGUGUCACUGUCACCUGUGUCACCUGUUCAGUGAGUGCCACCCCGUCAUUGUCACCUGUCUGUGUCACCUGUGUCACCUGUGUGUCAUUGUCACCUGUGUGUCACUUGUUCAGUGAGUGCCACCCCGUCAUUGUCCCCUGUGUCACCUGUGUCACACCUGUGUAUCACCUGUCAUUGUCACUUGUGUCACCUGUAUCACCUGUCAUUGUCACCUGUGCAGUGAGUGCCACACCUGUGUCACCUGUGUCACUGUCACCUGUGUCACCUCUGUGUCAUUGUCACCUGUGUCACCUGUGUCACUGUCACCUGUCACUGUCACCUGUUCAGUGAGUGCCACCCCAUCAUUGUCACCUGUGUCACCUGUUCAGUGAGUGCCACCCCUGUCAUUGUCACCUGUGUCACUAUCACCUGUGUCA
Molecule: long non-coding RNA, 1067 nt
Organism: Catharus ustulatus (Swainson's thrush)
Lineage: Eukaryota; Metazoa; Chordata; Aves; Passeriformes; Turdidae
Exons: 5
Source: RefSeq, a predicted model, not a curated record